RNAcentral lists this ribosomal RNA (465 nucleotides) under Vreelandella stevensii. Its description in RNAcentral is "partial 16S ribosomal RNA". It matches the Rfam family "Bacterial small subunit ribosomal RNA", at positions 338 to 795 of the family's 1533-position model. The record is from RNAcentral. Lineage: Bacteria; Pseudomonadati; Pseudomonadota; Gammaproteobacteria; Oceanospirillales; Halomonadaceae.
CCUACGGGGGGCUGCAGUGGGGAAUAUUGGACAAUGGGGGGAACCCUGAUCCAGCCAUGCCGCGUGUGUGAAGAAGGCCCUCGGGUUGUAAAGCACUUUCAGUGAGGAAGAACGCCUGGUGGUUAAUACCCAUCAGGAAAGACAUCACUCACAGAAGAAGCACCGGCUAACUCCGUGCCAGCAGCCGCGGUAAUACGGAGGGUGCGAGCGUUAAUCGGAAUUACUGGGCGUAAAGCGCACGUAGGUGGCUUGAUAAGCCGGUUGUGAAAGCCCCGGGCUCAACCUGGGAACGGCAUCCGGAACUGUCAAGCUAGAGUGCAGGAGAGGAAGGUAGAAUUCCCGGUGUAGCAGUGAAAUGCGUAGAGAUCGGGAGGAAUACCAGUGGCGAAGGCGGCCUUCUGGACUGACACUGACACUGAGGUGCGAAAGCGUGGGUAGCAAACAGGAUUAGAUACCCUUGUAGUC